Molecule: ribosomal RNA, 253 nt
Filed under: uncultured bacterium
Lineage: Bacteria
Description: partial 16S ribosomal RNA
Rfam family: Bacterial small subunit ribosomal RNA
Source: RNAcentral
UACGUAGGGACCGAGCGUUGUCCGGAUUCAUUGGGCGUAAAGAGCUCGUAGGCGGCCACUCAAGUCGAAUGUGAAACCUCGAGGCCUAACCUCGAGCCUGCAUUCGAUACUGGGCGGCUAGAGUCUGGUAGGGGGAUCUGGAAUUCCUGGUGUAGCGGUGGAAUGCGCAGAUAUCAGGAGGAACACCGGUGGCGAAGGCGGGAUCCUGGGCCAGUACUGACGCUGAGGAGCGAAAGCGUGGGGAGCAAACAGG